ACACCAUGGAGACCUUACUCCUCUUUCUUUGCGUCUUUUCAACUCUUGAACAAGGGGCCCUCUCUCAAAUUCAGUUGACUCAGUCUGGGACAGGAACAGUCAAACUCGGGGAGUCCAUCCGGCUGACAUGCGCUGUAUCUGGUACUGUCAUCACUGAUAGAUAUGGUUACCACUGGAUCCGACAGCCUCCCAACAAAGGGCUGGAAUGGAUUGGGAGAGGAUACUACAGCAGCUCUACCUGGUACACUAAUUAUGCCUCAGCCUUCCAGAGCAGGGUCUCCAUCACUCCUGAUACCUCCAAGAAUGAGUUUUACCUUCAGCUGAGCUCCGUGACAGCUACAGACACGGCCACCUAUUACUGUGCACGAGAAGCACAGUGA
Molecule: non-coding RNA, 380 nt
Organism: Eublepharis macularius
Lineage: Eukaryota; Metazoa; Chordata; Lepidosauria; Squamata; Eublepharidae
Source: the annotation of a RefSeq genome assembly